Molecule: ribosomal RNA, 385 nt
Filed under: Discus patulus
Lineage: Eukaryota; Metazoa; Mollusca; Gastropoda; Stylommatophora; Endodontidae
Description: partial large subunit ribosomal RNA
Rfam family: Archaeal large subunit ribosomal RNA
Source: RNAcentral
CAUAGCCUGGCGAAAAUGCUAGGUUUAUUCUGCUCAGUGAAUUUAACAGCCGCAGUAAUCUGACUGUGCUAAGGUAGCAUAAUAAAUUGGCCUUUAAUUAGGGUCUGGAAUGAAAGGAAUAUAUAUAGGCUGUCUCUUGUGCAUUUAACUAACUUACUCAUAAGGUGAAAAUUCCUUUAAUAUUAGAAAGACGAGAAGACCCUUAGAAUUUUUAUUAUUUUUGUUGGGGCGACAAGUAAUCAGUAAACAUUACAAUUUUAAAUACAAGACUAGUGAGACUAAAUUACCUGAGGGAUAACAGCAUAAUAGUAUGAUUGUGACCUCGAUGUUGGACUAGGGAAAAUAGGCUAGCAGUCUAUUAAGUUCUGUUCGAACCCUACGUGAU